Molecule: long non-coding RNA, 659 nt
Organism: Myodes glareolus (Bank vole)
Lineage: Eukaryota; Metazoa; Chordata; Mammalia; Rodentia; Cricetidae
Source: RefSeq, a predicted model, not a curated record
AAGAAAUUGAGGCAGAGAACCCAAGUGUUCUAGCAAGAGGUCUAGGCGCUAGAGACUAUAAAAACAGCCUCUCUUCCAUCCCAACCAAACACAACAGCCCUUCAAGCUAGACGUAGAAACUGAAGCCCUCACUCCAUUCUUUUUUUCCAAGCAACUUCUGUCAUUAGUUUCCUUCUUCGAUCAAAAGGAGGAACUAAUUUUUGCACUCAGGAGGCUUUCGUGGCAAUAUCUGCCACCAACAGCCAGAAAGGGAGGUGGCCAGUGUGGAGGGAAAUUGAGCCAACUGUUACGUCAUAGGCCAAGCCUUUGAGUCACCCUGGGAUCUACUGCUGGACCAGCACCACGCAGAGUGUCGGCUUCGUGUUGGACUGGGGAGAGAUACAAAGCAAGAGCCUCCUCUCAUCUGACUUUCUUAGACCUUUUGCUGACCAGGCGAUGAAGAUCCUGGCUUGCUACAGCUCCUGCCCCCGGAAGACCCGUAGGAACAAUUACACUUCAAGGUUACCCAUAUGCCGCUCUGCUCUGUGCAAAUCUAAGCCCUGCUGAAAACUUGGGUCUUGCUAUGUAACCAGAUGGCCUUGAACUCCGAGAGAGAUCUUCCUGGCUUAGCCUUUGGAAUCCUGGGAUUAUAAAUAAAUGCCAUCAUGUCUGGUUAGGAA